Molecule: long non-coding RNA, 103 nt
Organism: Ipomoea nil (Japanese morning glory)
Lineage: Eukaryota; Viridiplantae; Streptophyta; Magnoliopsida; Solanales; Convolvulaceae
Exons: 3
Source: RefSeq, a predicted model, not a curated record
CAAUUUUCUCAACAUGAUCGUGAAUAGAAUGAUAUUUGAUAUCAAUGUGAUUGGUUCGUGAAUGUAACACUGGAUUGUGAGUAAUAGCAAUAGCACUCGUAUU